Molecule: non-coding RNA, 1001 nt
Organism: Lolium perenne
Lineage: Eukaryota; Viridiplantae; Streptophyta; Magnoliopsida; Poales; Poaceae
Source: RefSeq, a predicted model, not a curated record
UGCUUAUGAAACAACCGGAUGCCUUCCAUCAUUAAUCAAGUAGAAACUUCUCAGGCGAACUGAUCGGACGCCACCUCCAUGUUAAAAACCUACAUCUCCUACCAUCGGCAUCAAGCACACCCGCCUUCUCGGGUAGCACCUCUGGCACUGGUCUCCACAAUGGUAGCUGGCCUCUCCCGAUUCUAAUUCCUCCUUUAUUUUUUCAAUGCCCCAACAUAGUUUCUCAAUUUGGUAGAUGCUCUACGGUUUGCCGCUCCACCGAUUUGAUUCGAUUCCUCGUGCAGCUCGCUCAAGCACCCAAUUUGAUAGGAUAUAUUGGAUUUUGUGGUUGCUCGCUGAAGCUAGGAGGAAGCGGCUACCAUCAACGGACAUUGAGCAAUGAGCAGCACUACCUGCAUGCAGUGGUACAAAAGGUAAGCAACAUAUGAGAGCUCUUCAGCUGUUUGAUGAAAUGCCAGUAUUGUUGACAACUUCAUAAAUAGUAAAUUUUCGUGCAUCUCUCGGUUCGCUGAUGAAGUUUAGUUAACACUGAAUCUAAUUUAUGAAGUUACACAUGCAGUAUGGGUUCUCAACCUUUCGCAAAAAUGCAGUUAGACAAUCCUGCAACCUACAAAGCAAAGGGAAAGCAACGGACAAGCUUAGCAUUGGUCUCGGAUCGUGCUACCUCAAUGCUGAGAAGUCGGCGUCCCUGUACAGGGAAUCGAGAUGACGCCUCUUGAAGAGAACCUGCAACUGUUGAACAUCAAGAGGGGAGAAUUACCGUGCAUAGCUUGGCCGGCUUGAAGACUGAUGCCGAACGGCGUUAGUUUCUCAUCGACAAUACCAAUUGGUUCCUGCUGUUGGCUCCUGGUGGUUUCGGCUCCCCUUCAAUAAAAAAAUUUAUACAAUAGAAACCCCGCUGAAAUACCAUCUUUUACAUGAAAGUUUCAGGCAGGUCUCUAUGAAUUCUUAUUCUAUCCAUCAUUAAAAAAAAUCCCGCCGCAACGCGCGGGGUAUCAUCU